CCUGGUGGCUUAGAGGGUAAAGCAUCUGCCUGCAUUGCAGGAGACUUGGGUUCAAUUCCUGGGUCAGGA
RNAcentral lists this transfer RNA (69 nucleotides) under Bos taurus (domestic cattle). It matches the Rfam family "tRNA". From Rfam's summary of the family: Transfer RNA (tRNA) molecules are approximately 80 nucleotides in length. Their secondary structure includes four short double-helical elements and three loops (D, anti-codon, and T loops). Lineage: Eukaryota; Metazoa; Chordata; Mammalia; Artiodactyla; Bovidae. The record is from Rfam by way of RNAcentral. RNAcentral also lists the same sequence under 1 other name.